AUACGUAGGGGGCAAGCGUUGUCCGGAAUGAUUGGGCGUAAAGGGCGCGUAGGCGGCCCGGUAAGUCUGAAGUGAAAGUCCUGGUUUUAAGCUGGGAAUUGCUUUGGAUACUGUCGGGCUUGAGUGCAGGAGAGGUAAGUGGAAUUCCCAGUGUAGCGGUGAAAUGCGUAGAGAUUGGGAGGAACACCAGUGGCGAAGGCGACUUACUGGACUGUAACUGACGCUGAGGCGCGAAAGUGUGGGGAGCAAACAGGAUUAGAUACCCUGGUAGUCCACACUGUAAACGAUGAAUGCUAGGUGUAGGGGGUAUCGACCCCUUCUGUGCCGCAGUAAACACAAUAAGCAUUCCGCCUGGGGAGUACGGCCGCAAGGUUAAAACUCAAAGGAAUUGACGGGG
RNAcentral lists this ribosomal RNA (397 nucleotides) under uncultured bacterium. RNAcentral's name for it is "partial 16S ribosomal RNA". It matches the Rfam family "Bacterial small subunit ribosomal RNA", at positions 523 to 918 of the family's 1533-position model. The record is from RNAcentral.